This 142-nucleotide non-coding RNA is filed under the name Bacillus sp. SJS. RNAcentral describes it as "Bacterial small subunit ribosomal RNA". It matches the Rfam family "Bacterial small subunit ribosomal RNA", at positions 1 to 151 of the family's 1533-position model. The record is from Rfam by way of RNAcentral. Lineage: Bacteria; Bacillati; Bacillota; Bacilli; Caryophanales; Bacillaceae.
UUUUUGGAGAGUUUGAUCCUGGCUCAGGACGAACGCUGGCGGCGUGCCUAAUACAUGCAAGUCGAGCGGACCUCUUCGGAGGUCAGCGGCGGACGGGUGAGUAACACGUGGGCAACCUGCCUGUAAGACUGGGAUAACUCCG